CCUACGGGAAGGCAGCAGUGGGGAAUAUUGGACAAUGGGCGAAAGCCUGAUCCAGCCAUGCCGCGUGUGUGAAGAAGGCCUUUUGGUUGUAAAGCACUUUAAGCGAGGAGGAGGCUACUUGGAUUAAUACUCUAGGAUAGUGGACGUUACUCGCAGAAUAAGCACCGGCUAACUCUGUGCCAGCAGCCGCGGGUAAU
Molecule: ribosomal RNA, 197 nt
Filed under: uncultured bacterium
Lineage: Bacteria
Description: partial 16S ribosomal RNA
Rfam family: Bacterial small subunit ribosomal RNA
Source: RNAcentral